Molecule: ribosomal RNA, 102 nt
Filed under: Polarella glacialis
Lineage: Eukaryota; Dinophyceae; Suessiales; Suessiaceae
Description: partial 5.8S ribosomal RNA
Source: RNAcentral
UUCGGGGAUUUUGGUGAUUUAGACCCAGGCUGGCAAAGCAGAUGCACGGCCCAGCCCUGCCGCAGGUGGGAGCCAGCAUCCGCGACCCUUUUGCGUGGAAAG